This 775-nucleotide ribosomal RNA is filed under the name uncultured bacterium. RNAcentral's name for it is "partial 16S ribosomal RNA". The record is from RNAcentral.
CUAAUCCUGUUUGCUCCCCACGCUUUCGUGCAUGAGCGUCAGUGUUAUCCCAGGGGGUUGCCUUCGCCAUUGGUAUUCCUCCACAUAUCUACGCAUUUCACUGCUACACAUGGAAUUCUACCCCCCUCUGACACACUCUAGUCUUACAGUUUCAAACGCAGUUCCCAAGUUGAGCUCGGGGAUUUCACAUCUGACUUAUAAGACCGCCUGCGCACGCUUUACGCCCAGUAAUUCCGAUUAACGCUUGCACCCUACGUAUUACCGCGGCUGCUGGCACGUAGUUAGCCGGUGCUUCUUGUCAAGAUACCGUCAUACUUACCAUUUAUUAAAUAAUAAGUUUUCUUCUCUUGCGAAAGAGCUUUACAACCCGAAGGCCUUCUUCACUCACGCGGAAUGGCUGGAUCAGGGUUGCCCCCAUUGUCCAAAAUUCCCCACUGCUGCCUCCCGUAGGAGUCUGGACCGUGUCUCAGUUCCAGUGUGGCUGAUCGUCCUCUCAGACCAGCUACUGAUCGUUGCCUUGGUAGGCCAUUACCCUACCAACAAGCUAAUCAGAUAUCGGCCGCUCUAAUAACGCAAGGUCCGAAGAUCCCCUGCUUUCACCCGUAGGUCGUAUGCGGCAUUAGCUAAUCUUUCGACUAGUUGUUCCCCAUUACUAGGCACGUUCCGAUAUAUUACUCACCCGUUCGCCACUCGCCAUCAGAGAGCAAGCUCUCUAUGCUGCCGUUCGACUUGCAUGUGUAAAGCAUUCCGCCAGCGUUCAAUCUGAGCCAGGAUC